AUUGAACGCUGGCGGCAUGCUUUACACAUGCAAGUCGAACGGCAGCACGGGUGCUUGCACCUGGUGGCGAGUGGCGGACGGGUGAGUAAUACAUCGGAACGUGUCCAGAAGAGGGGGAUAACGCAUCGAAAGAUGUGCUAAUACCGCAUAUGCUCUGAGGAGGAAAGUAAGGGAUCGCAAGACCUUGCGCUGAUUGAGCGGCCGAUAUCAGAUUAGCUAGUUGGUGAGGUAAAGGCUCACCAAGGCGACGAUCUGUAGCGGGUCUGAGAGGAUGAUCCGCCACACUGGAACUGAGACACGGUCCAGACUCCUACGGGAGGCAGCAGUGGGGAAUUUUGGACAAUGGGCGCAAGCCUGAUCCAGCCAUGCCGCGUGAGUGAAGAAGGCCUCGGUUGUAA
Molecule: ribosomal RNA, 398 nt
Filed under: uncultured bacterium
Lineage: Bacteria
Description: bacterial SSU rRNA
Rfam family: Bacterial small subunit ribosomal RNA
Source: RNAcentral